This 101-nucleotide transfer RNA is filed under the name Spirochaetota bacterium. RNAcentral's name for it is "Spirochaetes bacterium (wastewater metagenome) tRNA-OTHER". It matches the Rfam family "tRNA". Rfam says of the family: Transfer RNA (tRNA) molecules are approximately 80 nucleotides in length. Their secondary structure includes four short double-helical elements and three loops (D, anti-codon, and T loops). The record is from RNAcentral. Lineage: Bacteria; Pseudomonadati; Spirochaetota.
GAGCAAGUGGCGCAGUUGGUUGGCGCAGCCGAUUGAUAAAACUCUCUCCCCCCGGAACGAAAUCAAUCGGAAGGUCGCGGGUUCAAUUCCCGCCUUGCUCA